Molecule: ribosomal RNA, 1233 nt
Filed under: metagenome
Description: bacterial LSU rRNA
Rfam family: Bacterial large subunit ribosomal RNA
Source: RNAcentral
ACUAGGCAAAAUAGCACCGUAACUUCGGGAGAAGGUGCGCUGCUGACGGUGAAGGCCUUGCGCCGUAAGCUGUUGGCAGCCGAAGUAACCAGGCCGCUGCGACUGUUUAUCAAAAACACAGCACUCUGCAAACACGAAAGUGGACGUAUAGGGUGUGACGCCUCCCCGGUGCCGGAAGGUUAAUUGAUGGGGUCAGCCGCAAGGCGAAGCUCUUGAUCGAAGCCCCGGUAAACGGCGGCCGUAACGAUAACGGUCCUAAGGUAGCGAAAUUCCUUGUCGGGUAAGUUCCGACCUGCACGAAUGGCGUAACGAUGGCGGCGCUGUCUCCACCAGAGACUCAGUGAAAUCGAAAUCGCGGUGAAGAUGCCGUGUACCCGUGGCUAGACGGAAAGACCCCGUGAACCUUUACUGUAGCUUCACACUGGACUUUGACAUGAUCUGUGUAGGAUAGCUGGGAGGCUUUGAAGUGGUGACGCCAGUUGCCAUGGAGCCGUCCUUGAAAUACCAGCCUGGUCCUGUCGGGGUUCUAACGUCGACCUGUUAUCCAGGUUACGGACAGUGUGUGGUGGGCAGUUUGACUGGGGCGGUCUCCUCCCAAAGAGUAACGGAGGAGCACGAAGGUGCGCUAAUCACGGUCGGAAAUCGUGAGGUUAGUGUAAAGGCACAAGCGCGCUUGACUGCGAGACAGACAAGUCGAGCAGGUACGAAAGUAGGUCUUAGUGAUCCGGUGGUUCUGUAUGGAAGGGCCAUCGCUCAACGGAUAAAAGGUACUCCGGGGAUAACAGGCUGAUACCGCCCAAGAGUUCAUAUCGACGGCGGUGUUUGGCACCUCGAUGUCGGCUCAUCACAUCCUGGGGCUGAAGCCGGUCCCAAGGGUAUGGCUGUUCGCCAUUUAAAGUGGUACGCGAGCUGGGUUUAGAACGUCGUGAGACAGUUCGGUCCCUAUCUGCCAUGGGCGUUGGAGAUUUGAGAAGAGUUGCUCCUAGUACGAGAGGACCGGAGUGAACGAACCUCUGGUGUACCGGUUGUCACGCCAGUGGCAUUGCCGGGUAGCUAAGUUCGGACGGGAUAAUCGCUGAAAGCAUCUAAGCGGGAAGCCUCCUUCAAGAUGAGAUCUCCCUGGUGCUUUAAGCUCCCUAAAGGGCCGUCGAAGACUACGACGUUGAUAGGCGAGGUGUGGAAGCGUUGUGAGACGUUGAGCUGACUCGUACUAAUUGCCCGUGCGGCUUGACC